This is a long non-coding RNA of Apis cerana (Asiatic honeybee), 1100 nucleotides long. RefSeq lists it as uncharacterized. NCBI's taxonomy places the organism in Eukaryota, Metazoa, Arthropoda, Insecta, Hymenoptera, Apidae. The record is from RefSeq and is a predicted model, not a curated record.
AUCUUUCUAAUGCAUCUUUUAGAGUUGUCAUUUUAUAUAAAAUUCAACUUUUCUAUUAGAUUCAGAUAAUAAAUGCCAAUAUCUUAAGAAUAUUAAAAUUUAAAAAAUAAAUUGAAUUAGAAAAUUGAACUAAAUUGUACUAAAAAUUGUACUAAAAAUUUUGAGGUUAAUUUUGAUCCAAAUUGAAUAUAUUUUUGGAACAUUGAUUAUAAUUAAUGCAAUUCAAAAAUAAUUAAAAUAUGAACGCAAAAAAAUACUGUAAUAUAUAUAUACACGUAUUUUGUUCAUUAUUUAAUCACAGAAUAGAUUUAAAUAAAAUUGAUAGAACUAUAUAGACUUGAUUUUUUUGAUUCUUUUAAAAAGACAAAAAAAAAAAGAUAAAUAUUUUUUACAUUUAUGUCAUCCAAUUUAUAUGUGUGUAGUAGGUAAAAAUAGAAGUCAAUAAUAGAAGCCAAUUUGGUAAUCACAACAGAUAUUAUAAUAAAUCGUAUCUUUACAGAGGCAGAUACAUUGUAAAACGAACAAGGAUACUUUCACGAAAUAUACACGCAGUCGUACAUUGAUUCAGGAAUCGAUCAGCGAUACUAUGUACAACACAACCACGGAAGCGUGCACGAUGUUGAAGUAAUUCGCAGAUAAUGCGGUUGCACUUUUCUCAAAUUUGGCACGCGGUGCAUCUGUCGUAUAUUAUUUCCAUUUGUAUUUUUAUCCCUUUUCCCUUAUUCCAGUGUUUUUGUGUGCUCACGUAACAAAUUAAACAAUCUUAAAUGCACUAUAAUCUCUUUCAGUGAGCCAAGACACUGGAAUAUGUCUCAACUGAUGCCUGUUCUUUCCAUUUUUUUAUAAUAAAUUUUCCAAAAUAAACAUUAUUUGAUAAACUACCGAGAGAAUAAACAGAUUAGUUUUGCAACAGAUCGAAAAUGUUUAAGGUUAGAAACAGAAACCAGUCAAGAUGAUUUCUAUUUUAAUUUAGAUCCUUUAGAUCCUAGCCAAAUAAAUUUAAACGAAUAGUUAACUUACAUGCGUAAGUUAUAUGUAAGUACAAUAUGAAAGAAAAAAAAUGUAAAAAAUAAAAAAAAAAUAAAAGAAAAUAAUAAGUA